RNAcentral lists this ribosomal RNA (464 nucleotides) under uncultured bacterium. RNAcentral's name for it is "partial 16S ribosomal RNA". It matches the Rfam family "Bacterial small subunit ribosomal RNA", at positions 339 to 795 of the family's 1533-position model. The record is from RNAcentral.
CUACGGGUCGCUGCAGUGGGGAAUUUUGGACAAUGGGCGAAAGCCUGAUCCAGCCAUUCCGCGUGAGUGAUGAAGGCCUUCGGGUUGUAAAGCUCUUUCGGCCGGGAAGAAAUCGUGCAGGCUAAUAUCCUGCAUGGAUGACGGUACCGGAUCAAGAAGCACCGGCUAACUACGUGCCAGCAGCCGCGGUAAUACGUAGGGUGCGAGCGUUAAUCGGAAUUACUGGGCGUAAAGCGUGCGCAGGCGGAUGUUUAAGCCAGAUGUGAAAUCCCCGGGCUUAACCUGGGAAUGGCAUUUGGAACUGGACAUCUAGAGUGUGUCAGAGGGGGGUGGAAUUCCACGUGUAGCAGUGAAAUGCGUAGAGAUGUGGAGGAACACCGAUGGCGAAGGCAGCCCCCUGGGAUAACACUGACGCUCAUGCACGAAAGCGUGGGGAGCAAACAGGAUUAGAUACCCUGGUAGUC